CGAUAAGGUUAGGGGUUUCUAUCGGCCUCCAGCAGCAACGAUGGUUGUAGGCCGGCGGAAACUACUUGCUCUUGUCG
Apis mellifera (honey bee) is the source of this 77-nucleotide non-coding RNA. The record is from Rfam. Lineage: Eukaryota; Metazoa; Arthropoda; Insecta; Hymenoptera; Apidae.